Small nucleolar RNA from Andrographis paniculata, 89 nucleotides. RefSeq annotates it as small nucleolar RNA snoR116. The record is from RefSeq and is a predicted model, not a curated record. The transcript has a single exon. Lineage: Eukaryota; Viridiplantae; Streptophyta; Magnoliopsida; Lamiales; Acanthaceae.
AGGCAAUGAUGUCCAAUUUUUACCAUCAAACGAUGAAAGCCUCUGUUUCAAGCUUGUUGAUGUUAAAUAAAUCAUUGCUCUCUGAGCCU